UGGGGAAUUUUGGGCAAUGGAGGGAACUCUGACCCAGCCAUGCCGCGUGCAGGAUGAAGGCGUUAUGCGUUGUAAACUGCUUUUAUAUAGGAAGAAAUAGUCCUUGCGAGGAAAGUUGACGGUACUAUAUGAAUAAGCACCGGCUAACUCCGUGCCAGCAGCCGCGGUAAUACGGAGGGUGCAAGCGUUGUCCGGAUUUAUUGGGUUUAAAGGGUGCGUAGGCGGUUUAUUAAGUCAGUGGUGAAAGACGGUCGCUCAACGAUUGCAGUGCCAUUGAUACUGGUAGACUUGAGUAUGAUUGAGGUAGCUGGAAUGGAUAGUGUAGCGGUGAAAUGCAUAGAUAUUAUCCAGAACACCAAUUGCGUAGGCAAGUUACUAAGUCAUAACUGACGCUGAGGCACGAAAGUGUGGGUAUCAAACAGGAUUAGAUACCCUUGUAGUCCCUGAGCGGGCUGGCAAGGCGCAU
This 466-nucleotide ribosomal RNA is filed under the name uncultured bacterium. RNAcentral's name for it is "bacterial SSU rRNA". It matches the Rfam family "Bacterial small subunit ribosomal RNA", at positions 355 to 825 of the family's 1533-position model. The record is from RNAcentral.